AGCAUGUCUAGCAUGCGAGUCAUUGUAGCAUACAAGGCAGGACGGCUCAGUAACACGUAGUCAAUCUACCUUAUGGACGGGAAUAACCUCGGGAAACUGAGAAUAAUGCCCGAUAGAUCAUUAUGCCUGGAAUGGUUUAUGUUUCAAAUGAUUUAUCGCCAUGGGAUGGGACUGCGGCCUAUCAGUUUGUUGGUGAGGUAAUGGCCCACCAAGGCUAUUACAGGUACGGGCUCUGAGAGGAGAAGCCCGGAGAUGGGUACUGAGACACGGACCCAGGUCCUAUGGGGCGCAGCAGGCGAGAAAACUUUGCAAUGUGCGAAAGCACGACUGGGUUAAUCCGAGUGAUUUCUGCUAAAGAAAUCUUUUGUCUGUCCUAAAAACACUAGUGAAUAAGGGGUGGGCAAGUUCGGGUUCCACCCCCGCCGUUAUACCCACCCCUCCAGUGGUUCAGGAUGAUUAUGGGGCCUAAACCUUCCGUACCGGCUCUUGUAGUCUUUCGGUAAAUCCCCCUGCUCUACCGAAUGGGCUGUCGAGAUUCCUGAGAACUUAGGAGUUGGGAGGAGGUAGACGGUUUCUCGUGAGGAAGGGGUUAAAAUCCCUCUUGAUCCUCUUGGAGGACCACCAUGUGGCCGAAGCCGGUCUGACCAGACCACGUUCCGACCGGUGGAGGGAUGGAAGCUGGGGGGAGCAACGAUAGAUACCAGGUUAGUCCCAGCUGUACUUGCACUCGUGAUGCAUUGGCCUAGGUCAUGCAUGGCUGCAUGCAAGCCCGGUUAAGU
Molecule: ribosomal RNA, 779 nt
Filed under: uncultured archaeon
Lineage: Archaea
Description: bacterial SSU rRNA
Rfam family: Archaeal small subunit ribosomal RNA
Source: RNAcentral